RNAcentral lists this ribosomal RNA (522 nucleotides) under uncultured bacterium. Its description in RNAcentral is "bacterial SSU rRNA". It matches the Rfam family "Bacterial small subunit ribosomal RNA", at positions 8 to 518 of the family's 1533-position model. The record is from RNAcentral.
AGGGUUCGAUUCUGGCUCAGGAUGAACGCUAGCUACAGGCUUAACACAUGCAAGUCGAGGGGCAGCAUGAAGGAAGCUUGCUUCCUUUGAUGGCGACCGGCGCACGGGUGAGUAACGCGUAUCCAACCUUCCCCUUAGUAGGGCAUAGCCCGUAGAAAUGCGGAUUAAUACCCUAUGUUGUAUUUUGAGGACAUCUGAGGAAUACGAAAGACUUGUCGCUAAGGGAUGGGGAUGCGUCCGAUUAGGUAGUAGGCGGGGUAACGGCCCACCUAGCCGUCGAUCGGUAGGGGUUCUGAGAGGAAGGUCCCCCACACUGGAACUGAGACACGGUCCAGACUCCUACGGGAGGCAGCAGUGAGGAAUAUUGGUCAAUGGGCGUAGGCCUGAACCAGCCAAGUAAGCGUGGAGGAUGACGGCCCUACGGGUUGUAAACUCCUUUUAUGCGGGGAUAAAGUGCGGGACGUGUCCCGUUUUGCAGGUACCGCAUGAAUAAGGACCGGCUAAUUCCGUGCCAGCAGCUGC